Molecule: unclassified non-coding RNA, 424 nt
Filed under: Hevea brasiliensis (rubber tree)
Lineage: Eukaryota; Viridiplantae; Streptophyta; Magnoliopsida; Malpighiales; Euphorbiaceae
Source: RNAcentral
AUGAACGAUUUGGGUUUUGACUUCACUCAACAACCGGGAACCGGGAACCGGGAAACAUGAGCACAUGACAAUUCCAUUCAUUUGAAUCUUCUUAAAGGUUUCCUGUGCAGAUUAAUUUUCUGAUAAAUUUUCUGUUGACAUUGAUUAAUUUACGAUUUGUUUAAACAAACUCUUGAGAGCACAAAAAUAUGCAACAAGGAAGCACGAUAUAACAGCAGUGUUCAAACCUGAACCUCUCACAGAAAUGGUAAGAGAGUUAUGUGUGUGUACAUGUGUGUGAGGCCCGUUGUUCUCUGAGCAACAAACUUUAAAUACCAUCGGAGCAUUCAGCUGGAAACGAACUCUGGCUACUCACACGAGCCACUCACACGAACUACUGCACUCACAUCUUUGUGAAUAGCUACAGCUUCUGUCCACAUUUGAA